Molecule: non-coding RNA, 366 nt
Organism: Chrysemys picta bellii (western painted turtle)
Lineage: Eukaryota; Metazoa; Chordata; Testudines; Emydidae
Source: RefSeq, a predicted model, not a curated record
GGAGGAAAACUUGUUGACAUAGGUGCAUGUGCAAUUCUAAGAAUAAAUAAGACUCUUCAGUUGCUGAAGAGCAGCUGCCCACAGGAGUUUUAUACCUUAGAAGGUGAAACCAACAAAAAUCAGUUUAAGAAUCUCUGAAAUCUCUAGGCUUAGGACAUGUGAACACUUUGAUACUUUGGCUUUAUUCAGACCCAGCAAAUUUCAAAGAGGAAACGGAGGAAAAAACAGGAGAGUUUGCAGUCAGCACCCUUUCACCUGAAAGAUGGAGACAUUAUCGGUGUAAAGAAUCUCCUACUUGAGGAUGGUAAGGACUUCAGUACUGUGAGAGAUGAUAUUGGGAAGGAGACACAGAGGCAGCUUGCAAUG